AAAAAAAAUAAAAUACAUCAACAGAAUUAAUACUUUGUAACAAUACUUCAAGCCCAGUACUUGACAAACAAGUUUCAGGCUCCGCUCGAGAGAUCGGUCUAAGUGUAAGCAUUAGCAUUGUGGUCAUCGUAAUAAUUACCACCAUCGGAGUGUGCGUUUAUAGAAGAAGAUAUAGGCGUAAACCCGACAAUAAGCAAGUGUCCAUUCAAAUGAACGAUUUGUAUGACGUCAGUUGCCAAAAUGAGAUGCCUAGAAAACCUGACCACACAAGUGAAAGUUAUGAGUACGCAGUUACAAGUCGGCUGCGGAAAAACGACAUUACCAAACGUGGAGUAAAAGGUAUUGAACAUGAAAUUGUUGACCUUAAUGCUUAUAGUAAAGUGAUACCAAGGACACAAAGGAACGUGAAUACGAUGGAAUUGCAGUCAAGAAAAGCAAAUAACACCGGCCUUGCUGGUGAUUCCACGGUAAUUAAAACUGAAAACGCGGUUGAAGCGAGUAAUGAGUAUGAUUUCUCUGUCACACCGGAUCCAAUCAACAUGAACAUGUAUGGUCAUCUUGGUAGCCAUGAUCAAGAUGACGCAUACGACGUCGCUUCGUGUACUCAAAAACAGCUGACGCAAGAAGGAAUGAAUGAUUACGAUAGACUAGAUAAACGUUCUUUACAAAAACAAUGAACACCGACACUUUCUACAUUUUAAUUGCAGUCUUCUUUGGUGUUUGGUAAUUUAUAUAUUUAAAACGAGACUUUAAGCUUGAACAAAACUUUUUGUGUUCUACUUUAAUGUGCAACUGUCUGAAUAAUGAUUACAUUUGAA
Molecule: long non-coding RNA, 818 nt
Organism: Dreissena polymorpha
Lineage: Eukaryota; Metazoa; Mollusca; Bivalvia; Myida; Dreissenidae
Exons: 3
Source: RefSeq, a predicted model, not a curated record